RNAcentral lists this ribosomal RNA (500 nucleotides) under uncultured Glomeromycotina. RNAcentral describes it as "partial small subunit ribosomal RNA". It matches the Rfam family "Eukaryotic small subunit ribosomal RNA", at positions 591 to 1092 of the family's 1831-position model. Lineage: Eukaryota; Fungi; Glomeromycota. The record is from RNAcentral.
CCAAUAGCGUAUAUUAAAGUUGUUGCAGUUAAAAAGCUCGUAGUUGAAUUUCGGGAUCAAUAUGUCGGUCGUGCCUCCGGUACGUACUGGCGUUAUUGGUUUCUCCCUUCUGACGAACCACGAUGUCAUUAAUUUGGUGUUAUGGGGAAUCAGGACUGUUACUUUGAAAAAAUUAGAGUGUUUAAAGCAGGCUCACGCUUGAAUACAUUAGCAUGGAAUAAUGAAAUAGGACGUUUGAUUCUAUUUUGUUGGUUUCUAGGAUCGACGUAAUGAUUAAUAGGGAUAGUUGGGGGCAUUAGUAUUCAAUUGUCAGAGGUGAAAUUCUUGGAUUUAUUGAAGACUAACUACUGCGAAAGCAUUUGCCAAGGAUGUUUUCAUUAAUCAAGAACGAAAGUUAGGGGAUCGAAGACGAUCAGAUACCGUCGUAGUCUUAACCAUAAACUAUGCCGACUAGGGAUCGGAUGAUGUUAAUUUUUUAAUGACUCAUUCGGCGCCUUACG